ACGCACGACGGAUGGGCCGGGGGCUCCGGGGGGCUUACGGGAGCCAGCAGUAGGGAAUCUUCCGCAAUGGGCGCAAGCCUGACGGAGCAACGCCGCGUGAGUGAAGACGUUCUUCGGAUUGUAAAGCUCUGUUGCCCGAGACGANCGGAUGGGAGAGGAAAUGCUCCCAUCGAGACGGUAUCGGGUGAGAANCCCCGGCUAACUACGUGCCAGCAGCCGCGGUAAUACGUAGGGGACAAGCGUUGUCCGGAUUUACUGGGUGUAAAGGGCGCGUAGGCGGGUUUGUAAGUCAGUGGUGAAAUCCUGCAGCUUAACUGUAGAAUUGCCUUUGAUACUGCAAAUCUUGAGUUCGGAAGAGAGUAGCGGAAUUCCAGGUGUAGUGGUGAAAUACGUAGAUAUCUGGAAGAACACCAGUGGCGAAGGCGGNUANUUGGUCCGUAACUGACGNUGAGGCGCGAAAGCGUGGGGANCANACAGGAUUAGAUACCCUGGUAGUCCACGCUGUAAACGAUGAAUACUAGGUGUUGGAUGCAUUAGCAUCCAGUGCCGCAGNUAACGCAUUAAGUAUUCCACCUGGGGAGUACGAUCGCAAGGUUGAAACUCAAAGGAAUUGACGGGG
Molecule: ribosomal RNA, 619 nt
Filed under: uncultured bacterium
Lineage: Bacteria
Description: bacterial SSU rRNA
Rfam family: Bacterial small subunit ribosomal RNA
Source: RNAcentral